Molecule: long non-coding RNA, 484 nt
Filed under: Pan troglodytes (chimpanzee)
Lineage: Eukaryota; Metazoa; Chordata; Mammalia; Primates; Hominidae
Description: lncRNA (ENSPTRG00000053930.1)
Source: RNAcentral
CCAUUCUAGAGACGGUGGAGGGCAGAGAGAAAUGACAUGGAACUAACCUUAAGGAAUGCACUAUCUAGCCAGGAGACAGACAUACAGCCAAAUAUGUAAGACAGUGGGAUAACUCUAGCGGAACAGUUGUGUGCUGGAACCAGCUAGCCAGAGCCCAUCUCUGUAGUGAGUGUGCAUCUCUUCCCAAGUCUGCUUUUAGCAUCUUCACAUUCAUGGCUUGAAGGUGGCCAUGGUGGGAGUAUUUACACCACAGAAAUCAGCAAAUGCUAUGCAUCAGGGCCCUAGGAAGGCCAAUUAUGAAACACCAGCAUAUGACUGGAUAGAAGGUGUCAGAGAAAAGGUCUAUAUUCUUACUUACUGAGGCACUGUGCUAGUGACACUGCAAUGAAUGACUGCAUCCUCCUCUCAGAGCUCACAGCUUAGAGACCUUGUGUUAAGUGUGAUGACCUGGAAGUACAAAAAGUAAGUAGGAGGGACUUGACCU